UACGGAGGGUGCGAGCGUUGUCCGGAUUUACUGGGUUUAAAGGGUGCGUAGGCGGCUUGAUAAGUCAGUGGUGAAAUACUCGGGCUCAACCGGAGGGGUGCCAUUGAUACUGUCAAGCUUGAGUAUACACGAGGUUGGAGGAAUUUGUGGUGUAGCGGUGAAAUGCAUAGAUACCACAAGGAACACCGAUUGCGAAGGCAUCUGACUAGAGUAUAACUGACGCUGAGGCACGAAAGUGCGGGGAUCAAACAGG
Molecule: ribosomal RNA, 253 nt
Filed under: uncultured bacterium
Lineage: Bacteria
Description: partial 16S ribosomal RNA
Rfam family: Bacterial small subunit ribosomal RNA
Source: RNAcentral